CGUGAGGCGGAGCUAAUCCCUUAAAGCCAUUCUCAGUUCGGAUUGUAGGCUGAAACUCGCCUACAUGAAGCUGGAGUUACUAGUAAUCGCAGAUCAGAAUGCUGCGGUGAAUGCGUUCCCGGGUCUUGUACACACCGCCCGUCACACCACGGAAGUUGGGGGCGCCCGAAGCCACUUAGCUAACCCUUUUGGGAAGCGAGUGUCGAAGGUGAAAUCAAUAACUGGGGUGAAGUCGUAACAAGGUACC
RNAcentral lists this ribosomal RNA (247 nucleotides) under uncultured bacterium. RNAcentral's name for it is "partial 16S ribosomal RNA". It matches the Rfam family "Bacterial small subunit ribosomal RNA", at positions 1256 to 1500 of the family's 1533-position model. The record is from RNAcentral.